This 253-nucleotide ribosomal RNA is filed under the name uncultured bacterium. RNAcentral describes it as "partial 16S ribosomal RNA". It matches the Rfam family "Bacterial small subunit ribosomal RNA", at positions 524 to 776 of the family's 1533-position model. The record is from RNAcentral.
UACAGAGACCUCAAGCAUUAUCCGGAUUUAUUGGGCGUAAAGGGUCCGCAGGUGGUCGUGCACGUCGGGGGUUAAAUGUACGGGCUCAACCCGUACACCGCUUCCGAUACGACAUGACUAGAGGGUGGGAGAGGUGAGCGGAAUUACAGGUGUAGUAGUAAUAUGCGUUAAUAUCUGUAAGAACACCAAAUGCGAAGGCAGCCCCCUGGGUCAAAACUGACGCUCAUGCACGAAAGCGUGGGGAGCAAACAGG